UAAGGGUCCUGAAGGAACGUUGAAGACGACGACGUUGAUAGGCCGGGUGUGUAAGCGCAGCGAUGCGUUGAGCUAACCGGUACUAAUGAACCGUGAGGCUUAACCUUACAACGCCGAAG
This 119-nucleotide ribosomal RNA is filed under the name Escherichia coli. Its description in RNAcentral is "partial 23S ribosomal RNA". The stretch from base 1 to 107 matches the Rfam family "Bacterial large subunit ribosomal RNA", at positions 2819 to 2925 of the family's 2925-position model. Lineage: Bacteria; Pseudomonadati; Pseudomonadota; Gammaproteobacteria; Enterobacterales; Enterobacteriaceae. The record is from RNAcentral.